This 233-nucleotide ribosomal RNA is filed under the name uncultured bacterium. RNAcentral's name for it is "partial 16S ribosomal RNA". It matches the Rfam family "Bacterial small subunit ribosomal RNA", at positions 118 to 348 of the family's 1533-position model. The record is from RNAcentral.
UGGGUGAUCUGCCCUACACUUUGGGAUAAGCCUGGGAAACUGGGUCUAAUACCGGAUAUGACUCCUCAUCGCAUGGGUGGGGGGUGGAAAGCUUUAUUGUGGUUUUGGAUGGACUCGCGGCCUAUCAGCUUGUUGGUGAGGUAAUGGCUCACCAAGGCGACGACGGGUAGCCGGCCUGAGAGGGUGACCAGCCACACUGGGACUGAGACACGGCCCAGACUCCGUACGGGAGG